AUUCAAAUUCAAAGAAUAAAUAAUCACAGUUCUGCAGAAGUGUGAGUGCCAGGGGAGGUUUGGUGAUUUCAACACCCUCCAUCUCCAUCAAGUCAUCCCUAUUCUUUUAUGAACACCCAAGUGGCUUCUUGGUCUUAAGUAGGAGAUGGCAAAAGGCCCCCCUCCUCCCAUAACCUCUCUUGGCCCAGCAGGAUGUGGCAGAACGACAACGGGCUGGUUCUGAGCCUCGGCCUCAAGAGGACACACAUGUCCACUCGCUGUCUUGGACCCCUGCCACUGCUGCCAUGAGGACAGCCUGGGCUAGCCCACCGGAGGAUGAAGGAACUGCAGAGAGAGGCCCCAUCCACCCUCACCCAGGCCCGCCUAGACCUGACAGCCCCAGUCACCUAGGGUGACCCACUGCUUCAUUUGCCCAGGAUUGAGGGGUCACCUGGGAUGUAGGUCUUUCAGUGCUAUAACUGGGGCAGUUCCAGGCAAACCAGGACGGUUGAUCACCCUACAGUUGACUCACCAGCUGAUUCAGGUGCAGGAAUAAGCCCACCUGAGUUCAGAAGAGCUAGCCAGCUGACCUGUAAAUGCUUAUUGUUUGAAACCAAUAGAGCAUGAAUUUGGGAGGCUGAAUUUGGGAAGCCAUUUGUUAGACAGCAAAAACUAACAAGGGCACCUUCUCCAUUUCUCUGUGAAGAUCUCAGAGUUGCCCUGCACAUGCAGGGGAGCCAGUAACAGAGAUUACCUUG
Molecule: long non-coding RNA, 737 nt
Organism: Bos taurus (domestic cattle)
Lineage: Eukaryota; Metazoa; Chordata; Mammalia; Artiodactyla; Bovidae
Source: Ensembl